Molecule: ribosomal RNA, 253 nt
Filed under: uncultured bacterium
Lineage: Bacteria
Description: partial 16S ribosomal RNA
Rfam family: Bacterial small subunit ribosomal RNA
Source: RNAcentral
UACGUAGGGUGCGAGCGUUAAUCGGAAUUACUGGGCGUAAAGCGUGCGCAGGCGGUUCGUUAAGUUCGUUGUGAAAGCCCCGGGCUCAACCUGGGAACUGCAAUGGAAACUGGCGGGCUUGAGUGUGGCAGAGGGGGGUGGAAUUCCGCGUGUAGCAGUGAAAUGCGUAGAGAUGUGGAGGAAUACCGAUGGCGAAGGCAGCCCCCUGGGCCAAUACUGACGCUCAUGCACGAAAGCGUGGGGAGCAAACAGG